This 309-nucleotide long non-coding RNA is filed under the name Lathyrus oleraceus (garden pea). RNAcentral's name for it is "Pisum sativum (pea) long non-coding RNA (PSAT_LNC021723)". Lineage: Eukaryota; Viridiplantae; Streptophyta; Magnoliopsida; Fabales; Fabaceae. The record is from RNAcentral.
UUUUUGUAUUUUUUGGAUAUUGAAAACUAUUUAAAAUGAAUUAAAAACAACCAGAAAAGAGAAAAUUCAUAAAAAAAUAUCAAAUGAUAAAAUAAAAAAUAUUAAAAAUCAUUUUUAGAAAGUAGAGAUAAAAAGAGAAAUAAUGCAAUUGGUCUCACAUUUUUUGGAAUUAAAAUGAAUGAGAUAUGAUUUUUUUGAAAUGAAAUGAAAUAAAAAAAAUAAAAUGGAAAUUAAAUCAGAAAUAGAAAAAUAGAAAAAAAAACGUGGUACGUUGGAUCCAAGCUCAUUAAUUGAGCUGGCAUAUUAGAC